UGCGUAGGCGGGCUAAUAAGUCAGUGGUGAAAUCUCUCGGCUCAACCGGGAAACUGCCAUUGAUACUGUUAGUCUUGAGUUCGGUUGAGGUAGGCGGAAUGUGUAAUGUAGCGAUGAAAUGCUUAGAUAUUACACAGAACACCAAUUGCGUAGGCAGCUUACUAGACCGACACUGACGCUGAGGCACGAAAGCGUGGGGAGCGAACAGGAUUAGAUACCCUGGUAGUCC
This 229-nucleotide ribosomal RNA is filed under the name uncultured bacterium. RNAcentral's name for it is "partial 16S ribosomal RNA". It matches the Rfam family "Bacterial small subunit ribosomal RNA", at positions 568 to 796 of the family's 1533-position model. The record is from RNAcentral.